GCCGCCUAACAUUUUAUUUAUAUUUCCACACAGCCCAUGUAGUGCAAAAUCAAAACUGACAAAGGGGCUCUGACUAGACCCACUUGGUGUCAUUCUCAAAUGAAAAAUGACGAUGCGCGAAAAGUAAGGGGGUAGACGGAGAGGAGCAGAUGUUUGUCAGGUGUGCCAAAAUUUAUGACCAUCUCUCAUGCGCGCUUCAUGUUCGCGUACUAUAAAUU
This is a non-coding RNA of Caenorhabditis elegans, 218 nucleotides long. Lineage: Eukaryota; Metazoa; Nematoda; Chromadorea; Rhabditida; Rhabditidae. The record is from Ensembl.